This 406-nucleotide ribosomal RNA is filed under the name uncultured bacterium. RNAcentral describes it as "partial 16S ribosomal RNA". It matches the Rfam family "Bacterial small subunit ribosomal RNA", at positions 30 to 526 of the family's 1533-position model. The record is from RNAcentral.
AUUGAACGCUGGCGGCAGGCCUAACACAUGCAAGUCGAGCGAGCGGCGGACGGGUGAGUAAUGUCUGGGAAACUGCCUGAUGGAGUGGGAUAACUACUGGAAAAGGUAGCUAAUACCGCAUACUAUCAGAUGUGCCCAGAUGGGAUUAGCUAGUAGGUGGGGUAAUGGCCUACCAAGCCGACGAUCUAUAGCUGGUCUGAGAGGAUGACCAGCAAAACCGGGACUGAGACAAGGCCCGAACUCCUACGGGAGGCAGCAGUGGGGAAUAUUGCGCAAUGGGCGAAACCCUGACGCAGCCAUGCCGCGUGAAUGAAGAAGGCCUUCGGGUUGUAAAGUUCUUUUGGUGACGAGGCGUUAAUCAAAGAGAAAGCACCGGCUAACUACGUGCCAGCAGCCGCGGUAAUAC